UAGCUCUUACGGUUCUUUAAAAGAAGAUAUUUAAAGAUUUUUCUUUCGGUUGCCAUGGCAACCAGAGUUCUGCAUGGAAUUAAAUUCUUUGAACAAUUUUUAAAGGUGACCACCAAAGGAACAUUCCUGUGAAGUUUGGAUGAAAUUGGCUCAGUGGUUUAUGAGGAGAUGUCAUUUAAAGCAAAAGUUUACGGACGGAUGACGGACGGACGCCGGACGAAAAGCGAUCACAAAAGCUCACCCUGUCACUUUGUGACAGGUGAGCUAAAAAGGUGAAAUUAACUGGAAAAUGACAAAAUUCCACUCUUUUUCCACUGUAGUGGCAAAAUUGCCACCAAAUGCCACUAUCCUUUGGUGGCAUUUAGGUGGCAUUGAGUGGAAAUUUGAACAUAGACUUUUUUUAUGGUGGCAAAAGGGUGGAAAUUGGUGAAAAAUGAAACUUAGUUUAUUUUGAAGGUGGAAAAUGAGUGGCUUUUAGUGGAAAAGUGAAACUCUAACUAUUUUCUGGGUGGCAAAUUAGUGGAAAAACACUUAGAAAAUUUUUCUGCAUAAAGUUUGUUGCUUCUGCUUUGAUCUUUAAUGUCAAGCUUGAAUAAUGUUUGACUUUGGUCUUUUCUUCUUAUUGAGAUUUGUCUCUUUAAUAUUACUUUAAACUGAUAUCUGGUGAGUACUAACACUUUUCAUGUAAUGCUUACAAUAAUUAAAGUGAAAAAUGCAAAGGGCAAUAACUCCAAAAGUAUGCAAAAGAGUUAUGGUUCUUAAACACAGCACAUUACUCAAAAAGAUCUAUAUCUGUGAAGUUUCAAAUUAAUAUCUCCAAUACUUUUUAAGCUUAAUGAUCAAGACAAAAAUUAAGCAUGGAGAAGUACAAAAUGGCAAUAAACCCCAAUUCAUACAAUAAAGAGUUAUGGUUCCUAGGCCUUGUACUUCUCAUCAAUGAGAUUUAGUUAUAUGUGGAGUUUAAAAUUAUUGUAUCUAACAUUUUUUGUACUAUACUUUGCAGAUGAAAACUUACAAAGGGCAAUAACUCCAUAAAUUUGCAGGAGAGAGUUAUGUAUUUUUAAGAAGAAACAAACAUGAAUCAAACUUGUUAGCAAUAAUAUUUAAAUGCUAUUUAAUAAAUAUACAUAAAAAGUAGAUCAGCCUUCAAGAUAAUGAAGCACUGUGCUUGCUUAUUAUACCUCACUCUACCAAGCCUGUGUAUGAAAAUUAGUCAUACACAAUAUAGUAUGCCUUUCAGAGGCUUUAAAUCUAUUGUAAAAAUAAUUCUGUGAAAAGUAAAUAGGUAAUAAGUUCCUGAUAAUUUCUUAUAAAAUCAGGAUAAGUAAAUACUAGCUAGUAAAUACUACAUCCUCUAAGAUUUAACAACAAGGCAUACAACACAGAUCUGAUAAAACUACUGCCCUCUAAUCUAGUUAUCUCUGCAUGGGGGUUAAUAGUUUACUCAUGCUGACCAGAAUGUUCCAUUUGAUUAUUUUGGGAGAGGCAACAUUAUACAUGUUAUAUGUAGAAUCUGUGUUAAAAUAGCAUGCUAAAUAAUUAUUAUCUUUCAAAAACUUAUUUCUACUCAAUCUAUUUAGGUAUUAGACAUAGUUUAUACAUUCAAAUGAAUGUAAAAAUAAAAUGAUGGGUGCGAUGGUUUAUGAAUAAUCCCUCACAGUUUAAAGUUAUAAUGGAACUUUCCAGUAGUACGGUUGUAAAGUUUGAAUUCAAAGGAAUUGAGGUCAGUUAAAGCUUGCAAACACAAAGGAAAUGAUUGGUUUUGUAGCAAUUCUGGAGAUAUUAUUUUGUUUAAAAUGUAAGGGUGCAUAUUUUUGAUUUCUCAAAGAAUACAUUAAAAGUCUUAUUAGUGUGGCAAAUAGAAAUGAGAAGUUUUAACUGAAGUGUGAAUGUGUAGAUUAUUACAUUAGACAAGAAGAUAAACAGCAGAAUCAUUCCAAGUCAAAGUUUCAGGUAAACAACUUUUACAUACAAUAAUUAUUAUUAUCUAUGCAGAAACUGUUAAGUUUUUUAACAGUAAAAAUAUGAAGUGGUAUUGUAUAAAAUUAUGUUUUAAAUUUGUUUUAUUUGUCACUUGACUAAAAAUGAAAGCUGCAUGUACAUAUAAAGAAUGUAGGAAUAUAAAGAAUGUAGGAAGAGCUUCAUCAUUUCUUAAAUACAGUAUGUUAGAAAUGUUAAGUUUGAGAAAAUAAUUAUAGAAAUUAAUCAGUAAGUACAAUAUCAUUAUGUACAACAUUACAUCAAUCAAAUUAUAGAUAACCAGGUACCUAUUACUACAACUUUCAUGCUAUAAACAUUUUUCCUUGUGUGUCACAUGUGAAGCAGAUCAACAGUAACUGUUUUAUUAGUAAGUUUCAUUCCUUCAUUGUUGUAAUUCAGCUUUCAUGGUGCAGUAGAUAUAUAACCAUAACUAGACAGUCUAGAGUAACAAGCUGUUAGGGGAAUGACAGUUCAUAACAGAAACAGCAUUAAAUAAGAUUUUUUCUUUUGCAGACACAAAGCAAUGAGGAGCAGCCUGGAGCAAUGUGCUUGUUCUUCAGUGGCUUUACAAUUUAGGUCCAAGUGAUGGCAGAACUGAGGCACUAUGCCCUAUGAGAAAGGUACGACAAGGCUUUUCAGAAUGCUAUUCAAUAUAGAAGAGAUUAAAGGCUGCUCAUUGUUUGGUAUCAGGAAAUGGAACAGAGACUCUCUGAGAGUCUGACGCCAGACCUGCUUGUGCAGACAAGGCAAAACUUAAGUUCUUGAAAGAUUGUGCGCUGGAAAAGUGGCUGACAACCCAAAGGACUGAAAUCCAUAGGGUGAUUCUGCACCUCCUCAAACCGUCCAGGAAUAGAAAGAUAAACUGAAGAUAAUAAAUGGACUAAUGUGUUGCUAUUUUUUGAGACAAUUAUUUCAUAUGGAGACAUUAAAAAGGAUUAUUUUUAAAA
This is a long non-coding RNA of Ruditapes philippinarum (Manila clam), 2927 nucleotides long. RefSeq lists it as uncharacterized. The record is from RefSeq and is a predicted model, not a curated record. Lineage: Eukaryota; Metazoa; Mollusca; Bivalvia; Venerida; Veneridae. The transcript has 3 exons.